AUGAGAAAAAGGAAAAUGAAAGUGCUCAAUAGACAAGUAUCAAAACAUAUAAAUCAUGCACAAGUGGUAGGCGAAAGAAAUGUAAAACUUACUUUGAAACCGAACAAAAAUCAAAAAUUAUGUAUUGAUGUGAUUAUCACUAAAUUGAAGUUUUAUGUGUUGAAAAUAGUUGAAUUAUCCAACAAUUGGUGCCAACCAACAUCAAAUCAUAAUGUUUCACUAAAUUCUAAUCAAACAAGAAUGUGCACCAAAAAAAUUCUAACAAGAAAAUGCACUAAAACUACACCAAAAUCAAGUUUAAAGACUCCCAAAAUUAAGCUAAAACUCUAA
Vicia faba (fava bean) is the source of this 330-nucleotide non-coding RNA. The record is from the annotation of a GenBank genome assembly. NCBI's taxonomy places the organism in Eukaryota, Viridiplantae, Streptophyta, Magnoliopsida, Fabales, Fabaceae.